AGCAGCCGCGGUAAUUCCAGCUCCAAUAGCGUAUACUAAAGUUGUUGCAGUUAAAAAGCUCGUAGUUGAAUUUCGAGACCGGUUUAUUGGUCGUGCUUUUGUACGUACUGGUAUUAUUGGUUUCUCCUUUCUGACGAAUCUUAAUGCCAUUAAUUUGGUGUUUUGGGGAAUCAGGACUGUUACUUUGAAAAAAUUAGAGUGUUUAAAGCAGGCUCACGCUUGAAUACAUUAGCAUGGAAUAACGGAAUAGGACGUUUGAUUCUAUUUUGUUGGUUUCUAGGAUCGACGUAAUGAUUAAUAGGGAUAGUUGGGGGCAUUAGUAUUCAAUUGUCAGAGGUGAAAUUCUUGGAUUUAUUGAAGACUAACUACUGCGAAAGCAUUUGCCAAGGAUGUUUUCAUUAAUCAAGAACGAAAGUUAGGGGAUCGAAGACGAUCAGAUACCGUCGUAGUCUUAACCAUAAACUAUGCCGACUAGGGAUCGGAUGAUGUAAUUUUUAAUGACUCAUUCGGCGCCUUACGG
RNAcentral lists this ribosomal RNA (520 nucleotides) under uncultured Glomus. Its description in RNAcentral is "SSU rRNA". It matches the Rfam family "Eukaryotic small subunit ribosomal RNA", at positions 569 to 1093 of the family's 1831-position model. Lineage: Eukaryota; Fungi; Glomeromycota; Glomeromycetes; Glomerales; Glomeraceae. The record is from RNAcentral.